Molecule: ribosomal RNA, 494 nt
Filed under: Macrococcus epidermidis
Lineage: Bacteria; Bacillati; Bacillota; Bacilli; Caryophanales; Staphylococcaceae
Also listed under: 1 other name
Description: partial 16S ribosomal RNA
Rfam family: Bacterial small subunit ribosomal RNA
Source: RNAcentral
CAUCUUUUUUGAGCCUUUUUAGAUAGAAGAAUUUCCCCUUUGGGGGACAAAAGUGACAAGUGGGGGCAAGGUUUUUUGUUCAGGUUCUUUUGUGAGAAUUUUGGGGUUAAGUCCCCCCAACGAAGCGCAAACCUUUUUUUUUAGUUGCCCUCAUUUUAGUUGGGCAAUUUAAAGGAGACUGCCGGUGACAAACCGGGAGGAAGGUGGGGAAGACGUCAAAUCAUCAUGCCCCUUAUGAUCUGGGCUACACCACGUGCUACAAUGGAAGGUACAAAGGGUUGCAAAACCGCGAGGUCAAGCAAAUCUCAUAAAACCAUUCUCAGUUCGGAUUGUAGUCUGCAACUCGCCUACAUGAAGCUGGAAUCGCUAGUAAUCGUAGAUCAGCAUGCUCCGGUGAAUACGUUCCCGGGUCUUGUACACACCGCCCGUCACACCACGAGAGUUUGUAACACCCGAAGUCGGUGGAGUAACCUUUUAGAGCCAGCCGCUUAAAG